Molecule: long non-coding RNA, 601 nt
Organism: Mauremys reevesii (Reeves's turtle)
Lineage: Eukaryota; Metazoa; Chordata; Testudines; Geoemydidae
Exons: 4
Source: RefSeq, a predicted model, not a curated record
CAAGGAGCCAAGACAGUUCCACAGGACUGUCUCAGCCUGCUAGAGAGACAAUGGACAGAGCAGUUGUUUGCAGGGACUGACAUGAGAUGGUUGGUACAACUUUCUGCUGUGGAAUCAUACAGCAAUAACCAUGGGAGCUUUGAAGGUGAAACCUCUGGCAGCAAGGGGAGGUUCCCAGAAGUGGGUGUGACCUGGCCACAGGAGCAGCUCUGCAGAAGAGGAAGGCCUGUCCCUCCCCAGCCUGGAUGGGACUAGCAACUGGAGCCCAAUGCAUGGGGCACUGAACCAUUGGCAUCAGCGGGAGCUGAUGAGAACUCAACAAACUUCUGAAUUAGAAAUACACUGGAGACUUCCUUUGAAAUGUCUGGAGCAUGGAUGGCUUAUUAGAAACCCAUUUUGGGUAUAUGGCUGCCAAAACCAUUUACUGCACCUACAGCCAUCGCAUCACUGGGUUUGAACAUGCCCUGGCUGGUGAUCGCUGAAGUAAAAGUUGAUGCACACAAUAGACCGUGGAGAGCUCUGAAUUACAGAGCUGCAGUUUAAUGCAUGGAGCCCUGCAAAGAAGGAUGGUCUUGUGGUUUGCAGGUGGGCCUAUGCACAC